Molecule: non-coding RNA, 548 nt
Organism: Cyanistes caeruleus (blue tit)
Lineage: Eukaryota; Metazoa; Chordata; Aves; Passeriformes; Paridae
Source: RefSeq, a predicted model, not a curated record
CAGGAGACACUCACUCUGAGGGGUCGAAAUGAAGGGAACCAUAAAGGUGAAGGAGCCAGCAGUGGCCUCUCAGAAUUUGCACCCCAAAGUGGAACAACAACCAGGAGAAGAGAAGAAAGGCACCAUCCCUAUAACAAGGUCAGUUCCAUUGCAGAAGUGAAGGGGCAGCUAAGAAUGCUGAAACAAGUCCAACAACCUGUUGGGAAACUGGGCUGCAGCAAAAGGAAGUCACACCUUGUCAGAAAUUGAGAGAUCUGGUGUUGAUGAUAGCAGCUCUUUUGGAGAGAUGACAAAAUGAAACACCCACGAAGAAGAGCAACCAGCAUUGGCAGAAGAAGAAGAAACUCAUGUCUCUGGGACUGUUGCUGCUUUGGAGACCAUAGGUCACAGAAGCAAAGACCCUUCACUGCCUUGUCUGUCCCUCCAGAUACCAUGAAUAACUUCCAGUCUUAAGCUGCUCUUUUUGGUAUCUGUUUCACAGCAUCAUGGGUAAGAGUCACAGAUGACAGCAAACUGCUGUACUUUUAGCACUGAUACCAUUUUAUAUA